This 936-nucleotide ribosomal RNA is filed under the name Triticum aestivum (bread wheat). RNAcentral's name for it is "partial small subunit ribosomal RNA". The record is from RNAcentral. Lineage: Eukaryota; Viridiplantae; Streptophyta; Magnoliopsida; Poales; Poaceae.
AUGCAGCUACCCAGUCACUCACACAAGAACCGAUUCCUCAUACCAUUCUUUGGUUUGACUGUUGUGCUACUAGUCUCCUUGGCUCCUCCCACCAGUUCCUGCACGGAGCAGGAGAAGAGCUCCCUUAUCAAGUUCCUUUCUGGGCUCUGGAAAGAUGGCGGCCUCACGGUGUCAUGGCGGAGCGACACAGACUGCUGCAGCUGGGAGGGGAUUACCUGCAGCCUCAAUAGAGCGGUCACUGAUGUUUCACUGGCUUCUCAAGGUCUUGAGGGGUCCAUCUCGCCGUUCCUUGGCAACCUCACCAGCCUGUUACGUCUCAACCUAUCGCGCAACUCGCUGUCUGGUGGCUUGCCACUGGAAUUGGUGUCAUCCAGCAGCAUCAUUGUCCUUGAUGUCAGUUUCAACCGCUUGACAGGAGGCCUGCACAAACUGCCAUCUUCAACCCCUGCCCGGCCUCUGCAGGUACUGAAUAUCUCGAGUAACUUACUUACUGGGCCAUUUCCAUCCACCAUAUGGAAGACAAUGAAUAAUCUGAUAGCACUCAACGCCAGCAAUAACAGGUUUACUGGGGCGAUACCAACUUAUUUCUGCAAUGGCUCACCAUCCUUAGUUGUGCUUGAGCUCAGUUUCAACAAACUCAGUGGCAGCAUUCCCCCAGGGCUUGGUGGUUGCUCCAUGCUGACAGUGCUCAGAGGUGGCUACAACAAUCUCAGUGGAACACUCCCAGAUGAACUCUCCAAUGCGACCUCAUUGGAAUGCCUCUCUUUUCCUAACAAUUAUUUACAGGGUGUUCUUGAUAGUGCAUGCAUAUUCAGCCUCAGAAAUCUCCGAACCAUUGAUCUUGGAGGGAACUACUUUAAUGGCAGGAUUCCAGAUUCUGUAGGUCAGCUCAAGAGGUUGGAGAAGUUCCAACUGGGCCACAACAACCUGUCAUGA